GAGGGCGCUGGUUGCUUUAACAGUUUCAACUCGUGUUACCUUAAUUGUUUCACUCAUCAGUACUUGCUCGCGGUUGUUUUACCUCCGUUAAAACUGGACCACAUUAAACGGCCGCCGCAAGAGAAUCGUCUUCAUUCGCCAUCGUAUAACUGAUUACGAGCAAUAGUUUUGAGGGAAAAGAGGUCGCAGCCGCUUAGCAUCCGGAGGAAGAACAUAUCUCCGUUUCCUUUGAAGACCUUCAUUUUAAAGGGGUCAAAAAUAAGAAAUGCACCCAAACAGGUGGAGACCAAAAAAAGUAAAAAGAAAAUUCCCUCGGAUGGGUAAGCACAGCAUCAAGCCACAGCCCCCUGGUGAGGAAGAGGACUGGGAAAAGGAGUUAGAGGAGAUUUCACAAUGCAUUGAAGAGCAGAAACAGCCUCCUUAUGAUCCUGGAGAUGAUUUGACUACUGAAGUAAGGGAGAUGUUUCAUUGUAACAUCCAGAAGGGCCCAAGUUCAAACCAGGGACACUACAGCCCAGCAAUUCACCACAUUCAACCUGUGAAAUGGGUCCGGUUUAUUUAUGCUGUAGUGGACGACCAGUUUGCUGAUGCCGAAGAAUAAGGCUGUUGGUACCUUGUAUGUGCUUCCUUACAGAACAAAUAUUUCACAUUUGUUUAUAAUCUACUCAGCUCAGGCUAAUGUUUUAAGUAGGUAGUACUUUUGUUGUUUUUAGUAUUUUAUGUUAUUUUAUAUUUUAUAGAUUUUUUUUUUUUUUUUUGCCAGUUUAAACCCAUUUAUGUUUUAAUCUCUGUCUAAAUGUUUUAAUCUCUGUCUCUGUUUUUUAUUUUUUUAUGUUUCUGUAUAAAAAACUGUAUUACAAUGUUACUUUUUAUUAAAACAAAGUGACGGGAUUGUGUUGACUUAAGGCACAGUAAAUAAUUUCACAUGAGUUUCCACUGGGUGGCAGUA
Long non-coding RNA from Carassius gibelio (silver crucian carp), 949 nucleotides. RefSeq lists it as uncharacterized. The record is from RefSeq and is a predicted model, not a curated record. The transcript is spliced from 3 exons. Lineage: Eukaryota; Metazoa; Chordata; Actinopteri; Cypriniformes; Cyprinidae.